UGGGGAAUAUUGGACAAUGGGCGAAAGCCUGAUCCAGCCAUGCCGCGUGUGUGAAGAAGGUCUUCGGAUUGUAAAGCACUUUAAGUUGGGAGGAAGGGCAGUAAGCGAAUACCUUGCUGUUUUGACGUUACCGACAGAAUAAGCACCGGCUAACUCUGUGCCAGCAGCCGCGGUAAUACAGAGGGUGCAAGCGUUAAUCGGAAUUACUGGGCGUAAAGCUCGCGUAGGUGGUUCGUUAAGUUGAAUGUGAAAGCCCCGGGCUCAACCUGGGAACUGCAUCCAAAACUGGCGAGCUAGAGUAGGGCAGAGGGUGGUGGAAUUUCCUGUGUAGCGGUGAAAUGCGUAGAUAUAGGAAGGAACACCAGUGGCGAAGGCGACCACCUGGGCUCAUACUGACACUGAGGUGCGAAAGCGUGGGGAGCAAACAGG
This 429-nucleotide ribosomal RNA is filed under the name Pseudomonadota bacterium. Its description in RNAcentral is "Proteobacteria bacterium partial 16S ribosomal RNA". It matches the Rfam family "Bacterial small subunit ribosomal RNA", at positions 355 to 776 of the family's 1533-position model. Lineage: Bacteria; Pseudomonadati; Pseudomonadota. The record is from RNAcentral.